UACGAAGGGGGGCUAGCGUUGCUCGGAAUCACUGGGCGUAAAGGGUGCGUAGGCGGGUCUUUUAAGUCAGGGGUGAAAUCCUGGAGCUCAACUCCAGAACUGCCUUUGAUACUGAAGAUCUUGAGUUCGGGAGAGGUGAGUGGAACUGCGAGUGUAGAGGUGAAAUUCGUAGAUAUUCGCAAGAACACCAGUGGCGAAGGCGGCUCACUGGCCCGAUACUGACGCUGAGGCGCGAAAGCGUGGGGAGCAAACAGG
RNAcentral lists this ribosomal RNA (255 nucleotides) under uncultured bacterium. RNAcentral describes it as "partial 16S ribosomal RNA". It matches the Rfam family "Bacterial small subunit ribosomal RNA", at positions 524 to 776 of the family's 1533-position model. The record is from RNAcentral.